AUCCACNUGGGGAGUACGCCGGCANCGGUGAAACUCAAAGGAAUUGACGGGGGCCCGCACAAGCGGAGGAACAUGUGGUUUAAUUCGAUGAUACGCGAGGAACCUUACCCGGGCUUGAAAUGCAUCUGACCGCUUAAGAAAUUAGGCUUCUAGCAAUAGCAGAUGUGUAGGUGCUGCAUGGUUGUCGUCAGCUCGUGCCGUGAGGUGUCGGCUUAAGUSCCAUAACGAGCGCAACCCACAUUGUUAGUUACUAACAGGUUAAGCUGAGGACUCUGACAAGACUGCCAGCGUAAGCUGUGAGGAAGGUGUGGAUGACGUCAAAUCAGCACGGCCCUUACGUCCGGGGCGACACACGUGUUACAAUGGAUGGUACAGAGGGUCGCUACCUAGUGAUAGGAUGCUAAUCUCAAAAGCCAUUCCCAGUUCGGAUUGGAGUCUGCAACUCGACUCCAUGAAGCUGGAUUCGCUAGUAAUCGCGCAUCAGCCAUGGCGCGGUGAAUACGUUCCCGGGCCUUGUACACACCGCCCGUCAAGCCAUGGAAGCUGGGGGUACCUGAAGUACGUAACCGCAAGGAGCGUCCUAGGGUAAAACUAGUAACU
RNAcentral lists this ribosomal RNA (600 nucleotides) under uncultured Eubacterium sp. Its description in RNAcentral is "bacterial SSU rRNA". It matches the Rfam family "Bacterial small subunit ribosomal RNA", at positions 867 to 1476 of the family's 1533-position model. Lineage: Bacteria; Bacillati; Bacillota; Clostridia; Eubacteriales; Eubacteriaceae. The record is from RNAcentral.